Molecule: long non-coding RNA, 715 nt
Filed under: Gossypium raimondii (Peruvian cotton)
Lineage: Eukaryota; Viridiplantae; Streptophyta; Magnoliopsida; Malvales; Malvaceae
Description: long non-coding RNA (GRAI_LNC006761)
Source: RNAcentral
AAAUUAGGUCUUUGCGCAAAUAUUUUUAGAAAAAGAGUUGCCAUGUAUUGUUUAUUUGCUUAGCCCCGACUGAUUGGUAAUUGUUCCUCGUCAGCUGGAACAUAUUUUGAAACACCCUCAUCAUAGGUCACAUCUCCAUUCAUGACAAAGGAUUAUGAAUCUGAUGAUGAUCCACCAUGAAAUCCCAGCUAACUGCUGGGGGGCAACCAUAUAACAGCUGAGCAGUUCAAUGAUGAACGAGUGGGGAGUAAAUGAAACCCAACUUCUAGUAUAUAUAACGUUAGGUAAAACCCUAGCCUCCCUCCACUCCACCAUCUCUGGGCCUAUAAAUUUCACUAAGAGGAUAGGACCCCUUCGAAAGGCUGAAGUCAUAACAGUGGUGUUUCUGUAGCAUCCCCAACAGGGGAGCAAUCGUCGGGCCUCCUUUGUGGUGGUACACUUGAAGGCACCCCCCCAGGAAUACCUCCCUUUCCUUCCUUGGAGGCUUUCUCAGCCUCUUCUCCACUGCUUACAAAGUUUCGGCCUCCAUCCGGAAGUUGUUUUUGGUCAUGAUUAACGAGAAAAUAAAGAAAACAAGAGGAAAGAACUUAGAAAAGGUGAAACCUUACCCUGAAAAACCAUGGGCGCGAAGUAAAAAAAAAAAACGAAGAUGAAGAAAUAUCGAGGAUGAAAAUGAGAAGAAAUGAGAGAAAAGAACCCAAAAAAAUGGUUGAAC